UAUAUAUAGAGAGCAGGACUGCUCUGCUCUCAAGAGCACGGAGGCUUUCGUGCUCCUAAACCGUUUUGAAUGAUGAAAAUUUUGAAUCGACGAUCGGUUCCGUUAGACUUAAUCUAGCGUAUUUGAAGUUUCUAGAAAAUAAUUUUUGCGAUUUUUUGAUAUCAUUUAUCCAGUGAUCGAAAGGGUUCAAAAUCAAUAAUUUUUAAUGGUUGAUAUCUGCCGUUUUCAAGUUUAACGGUGUAGAAGUAUUCAAAUCAGAUGAAAUUUUGAUAUAAAAUUCUUUAUACUAUCUACAACAAGAUCAAUAUUUAUGAUUGAAAAUUUUAGUGUUAUAUCACCACGUUUUAUAGGAUUUUUAUUUUCAGCCAUUAAAAAUUAUUGAUUUUGAAUCCUUUUGAUUGCUAGGUAAAUGAUAUCGAAAAAUCGCAAAAAUUAUUUUCUAAAAACUUCAAAUAUGCUAGAUCAAGUCUACCGGAGCCAAUCGUCCAUUCGAAAAUUCCAUCAUCGAAAAUAGCUCAGGAGCACAGAAGCCUCUGUGCUCCUGAGAGUACAGCAGUCCUGCUCAUAAUAUAUAUAUAUAUACAGGAGGAAAAAUAAUUAAGAAGCCUUAAGACUUUGUGGAAUUGAAGUUUAGGACUUAAUGCUUUGAGCCUUUGAUACUAUAUAUAUAAAAUAUAUAUUUUUCACAACAAAAAAACAAAAUUUUAACUAUCCGAUAAUAAAUAUUUUAAUUUUUUAUGUUUAAAUAGUUUGUCGAGUGAAAAAGUACGAAGUAAACGCUACGCAGGAUGACGUGCUUUAUCAUAAAUAAGGUGGGAAUUAUUUUUUAAAAGUUGUAGGAUUGAGUCAUCUCCAAAAUUUCACAUCAAGUAUUGAAUAGGGAGUGAACUCUGUAUAAAUAUUUUAGUGCUAGCAUGUUUUGAAAUUCUGGUUCAAUUCAAAAUACUAUUUUUUGGUAGCUUAAGUUAUUGAAAAAUAAUGAUGGUUUAAUUUCAUAUAAUUUAACAAUAUAUCAAACAGAAUCUAGCCAAUUCAAAAACUUAAGCUUAUUAGGUCUGAGCCUAUCAAUAAAAAUCAGUAUUUACUCUCUGAUUAAAAGUCCACUGUGGGACAUGCAGGUCUAAAGCCCAUUCUUAUUGUAAAAUUCUAUUGCAAUUAAUAACUUAGAAUUGACCAUUUUAGACUAAAGUUUCCUCUCAAUUAGCUUGUUACAUGCAUGUGGAACAUUUUGAUAUUAUUAGGAAUGCAAAUCGGGCAGAUCCGGAGGCAGAAGGGGUUGUCCACCUCGCGGCCUAUUUUCUUGGUGAGAUAAGAUGGAUUAAGGACGGUUUGAAUUUUUAUCCUUUUUUUUUUUUUCUCCACUUACCGCUUAUUCAGGGCAAAUCAGAAUAAGAAUAGAUUUUUGACAAAUUUUAGGCGGAUCAAGACGGAUCAAAGAAAGAAAGGGAUAUCCCACCUAGCUCCCGCUCUAUUUCUUAGCAGAUCGGGACGUAUUCAGAGCGAGUUAUCAUUUUUUUUCCUUAUUUGUGGCUCUCAUUUACCGUUGCGUUCAAGACGAAUCUGGACAGAAUCUCCACCAAUCGGGAUUCAUCUGCAUACCUAGAUAUAUAUUAUAUAUCAUCAUUGUUGGAAGCGUGAUUUACUUUGAUACCACUUGUAGAAAGCGUGAUUUUCCUUGAUACAAAUUGUUGGAAUCGGUAUUUGUGCUGAUACCAAUUAUGUAACCUAAGAUCUAAAGUAGAACAAAAUAAUAUAGAGAAGAGGUAUUGAAGGAGAAAGAAGAUAACUAAACUAAUAUUUUAUUAAUAAAAAGUAAUUAAUUAUAUUCUGGACAACAUCCAUAUAGUCAUGUCUACUAUAUAUUCUUCAUCUAAUUAACACAUGCCUAACUAUGGGUUACAUUUCCAGCUAAGUUUAUUUCUAAAUAAAAUAAACGAAGCGGGUAGCGUGCUACCUAUCUCUCAAAAAAAAAAAAAAUGCCUAACUAUAUAUAGCCAUCAAAUCAUAACAGAUGAUAAGUUUGAAUUAUUAUUUCCAACAAUCAUAGUCACAAGAGCAUCUAUGUAAACUAGACAUAGAUGCUAAUAUUUUGUUUUAAGAGAUAGGUAGCAUCCUAGCUACUUCGUUUAUUUUAUUUAAAAAUAAGCUGAAAAUGUGAAUCAAUUAGGAUUCGAACUUAGGACACGAUAUCAACCACUAAGUCCUUUGCCACUUGCGCUAGGGACGAUUGGUCAUAGAUGCUAAUAUAUAUUCAAGGGAGAAAAAUAUGGUCCGAUUGACCUUUCAUCUCUUCACAUCCACCUGAUGCUGAGUGGCCGACACUUAUCUUCCAAAUGAAGCUACAAUCAACUACUAGCUACUUAAUUUACAUCUCCAAAACACUAGUACAAUAAUAGAUGGCUUGACGAUGUUCGCGCAUGCAAUGUUUAUCUUUGAUUUGGCUUCUGAAACAGUUUUUUUUCUAUUUUAAAAAUCUAAAAAAUUUGCAGCUUAAUGUUGCUGUGAGUAGAAGCUGGAACGUAAUCUUUAAGAUAGAAAUUCUAGUUUUAAAGUUUUACUACUACUUCAACUUCUAAAGCAUGUAUGCAGAUCAGCAUUUGCUCGAAUAGUUCUAAUCAAACAAUAUUGUUUCAAAAUAUUUCUGGUGACCUAAGAAUUCGGGUAUCACAAAAGCUUCCCAAGAUACCUUUGAAUUAAUGUUUUCUAUAUAUCAUUAUACAUCCUCUUACCUUAAGAUAGGGAUAAGACUUUUGGAAUAGUAUGUGGGCCUCAUGAACACAUGGUUCAAUAUUAGCCAUUUAUUUUUGUAAGAGGUUUACCAAGUAAUUAAUUACAUACAAAUGUUUAGUUAAUUAAUUAUCAGGUUCUAUGUAGUUGACAAAAGAAUGUUACCUAAAAAUAACCAAUAUAUAUAUAUAUAUAUAUAUAUAUAUAGUAUAUACUAUACUAUACUUGUAUAUUAUGAUACUAAUAUAUAGUAAUAUAAGAGCCGAGUGAGGGCCUACUAUGCUAUCGGACAGCACGGACGCCUUCCGUUGCUCUCGCACUCCAGCUUUUUCGAUGCUUUUCCCGACUAUCGAGCAUCGUUCGAUGGCUCCGUUAAAACUUGAUCGUCAGCACUAUUUGGUACAUUGAUACCUAGAAACAUAGACAUUUUUAAUUAUGUUUCGAUAUCAUUGCCUUAGCUGCAUCGAGAUUGGGCUCCAAAGAUCAACCAGUAAUUUCAAAGGCCGUAGUGAGCCGUUUGAAGCUUUUAACGAGUGGUCUAGAUAAAUAUCACAAUCACCGGUGAAUUUGGUUGAUAAAUAAAUUCUUAAUAUCAUAAAACAAGUCAAUAUCUUGAUUUAAAAUGUUUCAAUGUCAUCAUUAUUACAUUUGUGUAAGAUUUUUACAUUUAUCAGCGGGCGUUCGAUUUUGUUGCCCCUUAGCUUCACUAGGCCACAAUUGAUAUCGUAAAAUCAUUAAAUUUAUGUUUCUAGGCUACUCCAAAUACGCUUAGAUCAAGUUUAACGGAGCGCAUCGACUUCACCACUUCGAAAGCUCGGCGAACCUAUCGAAAACGAGCUGAAUAGCACGGAAGGCUCUGUGCUUCGAGUAGCCGAUAGUAGCCUCACCUGCUUUACUAUUUUUUAGCUAUACUAUAUAUAUAUAUAUAUAUAUAUAUAUAUAUGCAGUAAUAGUUACUAUAACAAAUCUUGUACUUAAAGCACUUUAAACAAUAAUUAGCGACGUUUCAAAACGUUGGCAAGAAUAACCUUGACACUUGUAGAAGUGUUAAGUAGAGAGUUGUUAAGUAAACAUGUUGGGAUAAAUAUACCGACGUUUUAAUAUAGCGUCGAAAAAUUUUUAUCAGUAUUUAAUAAAAAUAUGUUUAUUGGCGAUGCUUAAUCAUGAUAUGGGCACAUACAAAAUAUUGACGACGUUAAAAUAGAGUGUCGUUUCAAAAAUAUCGUCUAAAAUGUAUUUUAUUGUAAUAAGUCUCUGAUUGUAUCUUAAUUGAGAGGAUCGAGCAUGUUUGGCAUAUUCCUAUAUAUCUCACUGAUUAACAAAAAAUAAAAAAAAUAAAGAUAGUAAGUAAGAAUUAUAGUUACAUAAAUAUAAUACUCCAACAUAAAAAGAAAAAGAAAAUUAAAAGAGAGAGAAAAAUAAAAAAGAUCUAUCAACUAAUAUUCUAGUUCCUUACUCAAGCUUCUUUAGCUCCUACUCUUUACCAAACCACCAUGAGGAAUAUGCAAAAUUUUCAUGUAUAUAUACUCACAUUUUCAAUAAUCAAAGCACAUAUAUAUACAUUAUUUGAUUAUUUUUAUGAUCUUCACAUCAUGGAUGCUAUUCCAUAUUUAAUUCUUGGGAAAUUGAUAUUGACACACAAAUAACUGUACAUGUGCCACUUUGUUUGCAUUAUUGAAUUGGUUGAUAGGGAAAUGACAAUUAAUUUCAUUCAUGUGAUAUAGCUCUUUACACCAAAUAAUUAAAUAUGGUCUAACAACAGCAAUAUGUGGUUGGAGUUAUUACAGUGAUCCCUAGAGAGAUAAGUUGUUAAGGGAUUUUUUUUUUUUUUUUAAAGGAAUAUACCCAUGUCUCAAUCCAAGCUUCUUAGGUCUCAAUUCCCCUCGGAUUCAAUUAAUUAAGGAUGCAAAUGGAUGGAUCGGGUUGGUGGAGCUCCCAUAUCGAUCCGUUCCAAAUGAGGUGCAUGGUAAUGGGGCAAACAAAUUUAUUUUAAAAAAAAUAAUCCUUUCUAAAUCUGCGUUGAUCUACUAAGAGAAUGGAGCGAGAGAUGGGACUCCUUCCCUCUUUUGAUCUGUCCUGAUUAGCUAAAAAUCUAUAAAAAAUUCUCUUCUGCCCAUCUCGUCUUGAAUGGAGCAAAAAAUAUGAUAAAAAUCAACUAGCUCCGAAUCUAACCUGAUCUGUCAAGAAAAUGGAGAAGAAGGUGCAGGAACUCCUCCAGUCCCCAGAUCCACCCUAGAUCUGCCCAAUUUGCAUCCGUAAAUUCAACACUUGCAUGUGUCUUCUACUAUUAUAUAUUCCUUUGGGGAAGAGUAAUAGGAAUCCUAAAGUAUCCUGUUGAUGAGUUGUAGGAUAUCGAUUCCCUUUUUUUAAUUAAAUGCUAGGUCUCACUAUUGCAUACAUAUUUAUUAUUGUAGCCUUUGGAGCAAUAUUAAAAGUGAUAUUUAAAAGAGUUGGACCUUUGUUUCUUAGGCAGUAACACAAUAAGUGCUUUUAGAGCCUAAUUUAAGAGACCAUGAUGAUAUAAAUGCCAAAAAACAUAUUUUUUGGAUCAUAUAUAUUAGUACAUCAUUCUCAAAGCCAUUUUGUUCUCUUUAAACACAUAAUUAGAUUCUCUCUCACUUGCCAUGGCUCUCCAAGUUGCAUGCUAGGGGUAUAUAUAUAUAUAUAUAUAUCAGUGAAUGUGUUAAUGCUAUAAAGACCAAGGAUCAUCAAUUUCCAAGUGAUUGCAUAACUAGUACCCUUUUUUUAAACAUUAAUGUGUUUGUGGGUUCAUAUAUAGGCAUACGUAUUAUGUACCUACAUACAAACAUACAUACGCACCUAAGUGAGCAUAUAUUCCUUUUCAUUUAACUUGUGCAUGUAUAGAAUUAUUAUUUUCUUUUGCAUUAUGAUUAAUUGGCUUGGGUGCAUCAAUGGUUUGUACGGUACACCAACAUAUAGAAUCUACUACGAUCUUUCGCUCUUAUGAAAUAUCCGUACGUGCAAGAGUUAAGGGAAAUGCCAUCGCACAAAAGAUUCUCCCUGGAUUAUUAUAUUGCAUGUGUAGAAAAAUAUUAAAAAAAUAAAAAAAAAUUCUCUACAUGCAUUAUUAAUUACUAGAGAAACAUUAAUGCUGGGUGACUUGUAGUAAUAUUUGAGCCAAAAUUAUAGAAGGAAAAUACUUAGGGUUGCUCAUAAUUUUGCCUUGAUGUAUUGGUACUUGUGAUGUGGAGGUUUUAAUUAAUUGGUUAUAUAUAUAUAUAUAUAUAUAUGAAUUAGGCUGGAAUACUAUUAAUAGUAAAACGUUCUUUUUGCUAUCAAGUUUUUAACCCUUGGAUGAAAAAUUGUAGGGUCAGGAUGAUAUUAGUCGGUUAGAGUUGAGUGGUCCCCCUAGGGUUGAGUGGUCUCCACUGGGUUAUAGUAUUUAAUCCAAUGGUUAAAAAUAAUGAAAAGAGUUGAUCCAAAGCCUAAAAAACUGGUAGCAACAAUAGAAUUUUGCUACUAAUAGUAGCCCAGUCCAACUCUCUCUCUCUCUAUAUAUAUAUAUAGAGAAGAGAGCAGAUGAUGAGAUUGAGAGAGAUAGAGACGAGAGACCGCGUGAGAGGGCCGACGGUGAAACUGAGGGAGGAGAGAGAUAAGGUGCUGUGCUCUCGGGAGUACGGAGGCCUCCGUGCUCCUGAUGUCCAUUUUCGAUGAUGGAAUUUUUGAAUCGACGUCGCUCCGUCCAGACUUGAUCUAGCGUGAUUUGAAGUUUUUAGAAAUAUUUUUGUGAAUUUUUGAUAUCGAUUACCUGCAAUCGAAAAGAUUCAAAAUCAUAAUUUUUAACGGUGACAAUAAAAGUUCUAUAAAAAAGUGGUGAUAUAGCAUUAAAAUUUCGCAUCAGAAAUAUUGAUCUUGUGAUAGAUAUAUAAAGAAUUGGUAAUCAAAAUUAUCUGCAUUUGAUACUUUCUAUAUCGUUAACUUGAACGGCAUAAUCAACCAUUAGAAAAUUAUUGAUUUUUGAUCCUUUCGAUCAUUAGCCGUAGAUGAUAUCAAAAAUCUCUAAAUUAUUUUUUAGAUACUUCAAAAUGCCCGACGACUUUCCACAGUUAACGAGACGAUCGUCGAUUCUGAAAAUUUCAUCAUCCGAAAACGCCUUCCGCUGCUCCUGAGAGCACAGCAACCCAUACUUAAUAUAUAUAUAUAUAUAUAAUAUAUAUAGAAAAUAGAUUGACUCAUACUUCUAUAGUCGGGAGCUCCUUGGUAUUACAGCUUUUGUUCAAUUUUAGGGUGUUCAAUUAACGGAUCCACAUCGUUAAAAUAUGAUCUAGGAUAUAUGAAAUUCUUAGAAAUAUCUACAAACCUCCACAAAUAUAUAUAUAUAAAUAUAUAUAUAUAUAUUAUAUAUAUAUAUAUUAUAUAUAUAUAUAAUAUAACUAAUUAUUAUAUAUAGUAUAUUAAUAUAUAUGCAGCAGGGUGCUAGUGCUCUAGAAGCACGGAGGCCUCCGUGCUCCUGAAGCCGUUUUCGAAUGAUGGAAUAACUUCGAAUCGGACGAUCGGCUCUGUUAGACUUAAUCUAGCGCAUUUGAAGUUUCUAGAAAAUAAUUUUUGCGAUUUUUUGAUAUCAUUUACCUAGUGAUCGAAAGGUUUCAAAAUCUAUAAUUUUUAAUGGUUGAUAUCUGCCGUUUUCAAGUUUAACGGUGUAGAAGUAUUCAAAUCAGAUGAAAUUUUGAUACAAAAUUCUUUAUACUAUCUACAACAAGAUCAAUAUUUCUGAUCGAAAAUUUUAGUACUAUAUCACCACUUUUUAUAGAAUUUUUAUUUUCAGCCGUUAAAAAAUAUUUAUUUUGAAUCCUUUCGAUUACUAGGUAAAUAAUAUCGAAAAAUCGCAAAAAUUAUUUUCUAGAAACUUUAAAUACGCUAGAUCAAGUUUAACGGAACCGAUCGUCGAUUUGGUAAUUCCAUCAUCGAAAACGGCUCAGGAGUACGGAGACCUCCGUGCUCCUGAGAGCACAACAGUCCUGCUUUAUAUAUAUAUAUAUAUAGAGGUAAUAUUGUGGAGGAUUUGUAGUAGUAUUUUGCGUUAGAAGUUAAUUAUAUGUGAACAAUCUCACACUGUAUGAUUAAUAAGAAAGUAAAUUAAUUGUUGGAACAAAUAUUAAUGCACCUAACCUAAUAUGCUGAAACUUUUAGGCCUGGUGACUUUCAUUAGAUAUGUCACACAUUUUUGGAUUCAUGUAGGUUAAUAAUUAACGAUAAUACCAGUUUGUCACAUCUUCUGUAAUAAAUUAUCUUGAUCAACUAUGGGUUAAUUAAUAGAAAAGUGAAAAAAAAAGAAGAAAUUCUUAUAAGAGCAAUGGCCUAUUGGAAGUGACAAUUUUCAACUUCUAGUCACAUGUUCUUGAAAAGAGGUGAUAAUUAAUAAUUAAUUAAUUAAUUAAUUAAUCAAUCCUGACC
This 8142-nucleotide long non-coding RNA is filed under the name Ananas comosus (pineapple). RNAcentral describes it as "long non-coding RNA (ACOM_LNC020350)". Lineage: Eukaryota; Viridiplantae; Streptophyta; Magnoliopsida; Poales; Bromeliaceae. The record is from RNAcentral.